This 45-nucleotide non-coding RNA is filed under the name Caenorhabditis brenneri. Its description in RNAcentral is "sRNA CBN34220". It matches the Rfam family "Histone 3' UTR stem-loop". From Rfam's summary of the family: The mRNAs of metazoan histone genes lack a poly-A tail. 3' end processing occurs at a site between a highly conserved stem-loop (modelled by this family) and a purine rich region around 20 nts downstream (the histone downstream element, or HDE). Lineage: Eukaryota; Metazoa; Nematoda; Chromadorea; Rhabditida; Rhabditidae. The record is from RNAcentral.
CCAACGGCCCUCUUAAGGGCCACAAAUAUCCUAAUAAUCCGAAAU